Molecule: long non-coding RNA, 1148 nt
Organism: Arabidopsis lyrata subsp. lyrata
Lineage: Eukaryota; Viridiplantae; Streptophyta; Magnoliopsida; Brassicales; Brassicaceae
Exons: 2
Source: RefSeq, a predicted model, not a curated record
AUGUUGACAAAACAAUAAAAACAGGAAAAUACACAUUUGUGGUCCAUUUAUCCAAACAAACAAGCAUCUGUGUAACGUGUAUUAUUAUUAUUUCUUUUUUCAAUUAUUAUUAUUCAAAGUUGCUGUUGUUGAUAAUUUUUUUUGUUAUAUACAUGUGUGAGAGAGAGAGAAAGAGAAGAAUCUCGAUUAAGAUUAUCAAGCUUAGACAUUUUUCCUGUCUCUUAGCUUUUCUUCUUGUUAAUGUUUAAUUUGCCCUCUCCUAAAAACUCAAAAAUCUUGGAAAAAACCUUCAAAAAGGGUCAUUUCUCUUCUCAUUCUUUUUUUUUUCAAUUAUCGUGUCCAUGUACGAUUUACAUGGAUCUAUAUCUAUGCUGGUUUUUAGAGGCUGAAGCUGCCAGCAUGAUCUGGUAAUUGCUACAUACGACAUACACACAUAUACUAGUUAAUUUCCACACCUAUAAAAGUUUUUUUCCUACAACUUAAAGCUUUUUUCCUUCCUCUUUUUAAUAAUUAGUGAUCUCUAGUUCUUUGCCUACUUGUAAUAUAUAUUUACGGUGGAUUCAUGCAUGUGUGUAUAUAUAUACAUAGUUUACAUGCAUGCAUUUUGUGUAUGUGUGUGUGUAUAGAUAGUAGUACUAGGUCAUCCUGCAGCUUCAGUCACUAAAUCACCAACAAUAUCAAAUCAAGAUAAACUAAAUUUUCAUGAGAAAGGCGUUUCCGCGUUAACUUUUACGAUUCCCUCUAUCACAAUUCGAGAUUGUUAUUCAUAAUGUUUGAGCAAGGAAAAACCAACGUCUACACUUUUUCAUCUUUAAUUGAAUACGGCUCAAGCCUUCUUUAAUAAAGAUUGUACCAUAUAUGAAGCCAUUAACCAAUGAUCGACAUUGAGAUUCUCUGCGUUGAUCAGCAACUCCAGUUUAUUUUGAAGAUCUUUAACUUGAAGGACGCAUGAUAGAUUGCACUAAGUUUAUCUUAAUGAUGUAAUUUUAAUUCUUAGUUUUGUUUCUAGUUUCUUUCGAUCAUUUGUAACGAUUAGGGGUUUGCACAAAUAACAAUUGCUAGUUCCAUAGAUAAAUACUUUAAGAACAUUGGUUAAGCGUGGUCAAUUCUUUCCACCUGUAAAGAGAAAAAUGAAAAUGUCAGACCAA